RNAcentral lists this ribosomal RNA (450 nucleotides) under uncultured bacterium. Its description in RNAcentral is "partial 16S ribosomal RNA". It matches the Rfam family "Bacterial small subunit ribosomal RNA", at positions 354 to 796 of the family's 1533-position model. The record is from RNAcentral.
GUGGGGAAUAUUGGACAAUGGGCGAAAGCCUGAUCCAGCCAUGCCGCGUGUGUGAAGAAGGUCUUCGGAUUGUAAAGCACUUUAAGUUGGGAGGAAGGGUAGUAACCUAAUACGUUGCUACUUUGACGUUACCGACAGAAUAAGCACCGGCUAACUUCGUGCCAGCAGCCGCGGUAAUACGAAGGGUGCAAGCGUUAAUCGGAAUUACUGGGCGUAAAGCGCGCGUAGGUGGUUCAGUAAGUUGGAAGUGAAACCCCCGGGCUCAACCUGGGAACUGCUUUCAAAACUGCUGAGCUAGAGUACGGUAGAGGGUGGUGGAAUUUCCUGUGUAGCGGUGAAAUGCGUAGAUAUAGGAAGGAACACCAGUGGCGAAGGCGACCACCUGGACUGAUACUGACACUGAGGUGCGAAAGCGUGGGGAGCAAACAGGAUUAGAUACCCUAGUAGUCC